AGAGAUGGAUUGGUGCCUUCGGGAACUCUGACACAGGUGCUGCAUGGCUGUCGUCAGCUCGCGUCGUGAGAUGUUGGGUUAAGUCCCGUAACGAGCGCAACCCUUGUCCUUAGUUACCAGCACGUUAUGGUGGGCACUCUAAGGAGGACUGCCGGUGACAAACCGGAGGAAGGUGGGGAUGACGUCAAGUCAUCAUGGCCCUUACGGCCUGGGCUACACACGUGCUACAAUGGUCGGUACAAAGGGUUGCCAAGCCGCGAGGUGGAGCUAAUACCCAUAAAACCGAUCGUAGUCCGGAUCGCAGUCUGCAACUCGACUGCGUGAAGUCGGAAUCGCUAGUAAUCGUGAAUCAGAAUGUCACGGUGAAUACGUUCCCGGGCCUU
This 383-nucleotide ribosomal RNA is filed under the name uncultured Pseudomonas sp. RNAcentral's name for it is "bacterial SSU rRNA". It matches the Rfam family "Bacterial small subunit ribosomal RNA", at positions 1002 to 1382 of the family's 1533-position model. Lineage: Bacteria; Pseudomonadati; Pseudomonadota; Gammaproteobacteria; Pseudomonadales; Pseudomonadaceae. The record is from RNAcentral.